UUCAUGAAAAACUCUGUCACUAGAUUUGAGGACUCAGGCUGGGAAUUAAUGAAUUAGUGCCAUUCCUCACUCCAUUGGUGACGAAAGUCAUGCCAGUAUCAUAUGAGGGCUGUUCCAGGAUGCACAGCUAAAGAGGUUGCACUGGAGAGAGAACCAAUAUAAAAGGGAAAUUGACUUGAGAAAGCACAAUCUGACCUCUCCUUGGCACUUCUUCCUCAGCAUCCCACCUUUAAUGUUUGUGGUCACCCUUGUCCUUUCCAACCCCAGCUCUUCCAGGCUCCCUGUGCUGGGCAAAGGUUUUAAUGAAUUGCCAGAUAUUGAAGAUGCUCAACCCAGUGCUCUCACUCUGUCUCACUCUUGAUAUUCACACCUAUGUUUCCUGUUCUCUAUUCAAUACCACACACUCAUAGACCUUUAGGUCUUCACUUGACCUACAUGUUUAUCAAUAACACCAUCCUUCCUCUUUUCAAGGCUUCUUCAAGGAGCAACCCAAAUCUCAUCUUCUGUGAAACAUCUCUUGAGUUCCAUCCCCAAUCACGUCCAGCCCCUGUCCUAUUGGGCACAAGGAGAGAAAAAUUCAACAGAGACAUAUCUGUAGAACAAUUACUAGAUGCUGCAGAGAAUACAGGAGUAGGACACAACUUCUUACACUGUCAACUGUUUAAUAAGUUUUGGCUGAACACAUGAAUGAAGGAAGAAAGGAAUUAAAAGCUUUUAGAUGAGGAAACUAAACUCCAGAAAUUUUUUACAACGUGCCCAAGGCUACUCAGAUAGAGAAGAAGAGCCUUCAUGUGAAACUUACAACGAUUCCAGAAACAUCCAAUUCAGUGUUCUUUCUACUAACCAGUACUUUUAGAAGGCACACGAACACUCGCUAAAAAUAUAGAUUUCUUGAUCCCUACUGCAAACUUGGGGUGAGGGCCAAAGAAUCUACAUUUUUACAGUCUAGAAGAUUCUGAUGUCUAGAAGGUUGUGAUGUAGCUGUUCUAAGAACAUAUUUUGAGAAGUACUGUUCUAUACCAACUCUCAUCAUAAAUAUAUGGUCAUCUUCCUCAUUGCUUUGGCUGGUACAGUAGAUUUCUCAUUAGUGGGAUUUCCUAACCGUUCAGCUUUAAAAAUAUCUAAUGGAGACUGAAGUUGGAGUGAGUGGAGAGGGGGUGUGUGUGUGUGUGCGCCUGUGUGCAUACAUAAGCGGAGGUGAAAGCUAAAGAUGAAGAAUGGUUUUGGUAGAACCUUUGGUAGAACAAAUAAGCCAAGAGCAUCACAGAAAAUAAAUCAAAUUGGUCUAAGACCCAGACAUUUUUAUACAAUCCACCCUCUACAUCCACAGAUUCUGCAUCCUUGGAUUCAACCAACCAUCAACCAAACUCCACAGAUGCAGAACCCGGGGAUAUGGUGAGCAUUCAUGAAUUUUUGUAUCUGCCAAGGGUUCUGGCCCCAAUUCCCUGCAGAUAAGGAGGAACAACUGUAUGUUAGAACUACUUUUACAUAUGUAUUUUUUUGGAAUGUAGGUGAGUGGGUACGUUGGGAGCCAAAGAAAGAUUACGUAAAAGUUGAGGCCACUGCCAACUUCUACCAUAGAGAACAAGAUGACUGCUAAGAUCCCCUUAUUCUAAUGAUGCCAUCUGCCCUCACUUUUUCAUUGCCACCCUUACUGGUACAUCAGUCACAUCCUAUUUGUACAGUACCUAUGUGGUAUGAUCAACCCUCAGUAUCACUUUCGACCUGAUCCUGUCCUAUGCUCCCUGUGACCUCCACUCAGCACUCAUCCUCAUCAGACAUGAAAGAGUCAGCUCAUAGAUAACUUGUUUCCCAGAGAGUCAUGAGACUUUAGGUCAAAUGCCAUGAUAAUCACAUUAACAGUGAGGUGCAGAAUGAGUUUCCUAUCAUAGACAGCUGGUAUGGACAAGCAACUUCUCCACCAGGGGUUGGCUUGAGCUAACAAAAAUAUGAGACAACCGUUCCUCUUCAAUGCUGGUAUUUCUGGAUCUCAAACCCCAACUGUCCUAUGCACUUUGGCAGCAGUUGUGCCAUUAUAAGUUGUAAGUGGAUCCAAAUAUGUAGCAACCCUGAAACUGUAACCAAGAGUUUGUUGGUUCAGAAAUUCAAGUCAUCCCAACGUCUCAUUGUGAGUCUUUUCCCGUGAAUUUAAAUAAUAGAAUCACUUAAUUUUUUGCUUUAAUUAUAUACAUUUUCCCCAUGAGUUACUUAUCAGCCUGAAUGCACAUUCACCUUUUUAAUAUACUAUUCUUUUUUAAAAAAUUUAAAAAACUUUUUUUUGGUAGGGGGAGCUAUUUGAUUUUUUUUAACGGAGGUACUGAUGGUUGAACCCAGGACCCCGUGCGUGCUAAGCACACACUCUACCACUCCUUUAGAUCCUACUCUUGAUGAAACUGGCUGAGGUACUUUGAUGCAUCUGCCUUUUGCACAGAGUAUUGAUGGCAUCUGCAGGAUCCUUGCCUAAAUUCUCUCUACAAAGGUGAAACAGAUGGCUCCUGACUUUGGAUACCCACUGCAGCCAUAACAUUGUCCAUCUGCAACCCUGGAAUGCUUCUUUGCUUUUACUUGUCUCACACAGCAGUAGGGCAUUCGGGAUAUGAAAUAUCUAAAUUUGACACUCCAGAUAGUCAGCAAACUUCCAGACUUUCUCAUGCUCCAUAAAUCCACCGAUUCUGAGUUUAUUUACAAUAAGCAAUCCUAAAUCAGGAAUAUCUUGCUAAUAGCAUUCCAUAGAUAAGGUCUCCCUUCCCUGCAAAUAGCACUAGUUUGUUAAACAGGAGGUCUGGCUUUCAGCAGUUUUCCAAGGAUAUUAUACUGAAUCACCUGCUUCUGGCCCCUCCCUACAACAUGGGCAUGAAUGGAUCAUAGGUCAGCUGCUUUAACUCCUUCCUUUCUAGUGCUAAGAAAUAAUUUAACUGAAAGCACUUUGAACACCAUCAUAACACUAUUAGAACUGUGACCCAGUUACAAAUUAAAUUAUUAAAUUAAUUCAGCUAUUCCAUGGGAAUGAUUAAAAUCAACUUGACAUCCAGAGUAUAGACCAAGUAAGACAACCACCUCUCUGCCUACUAGAUAAUCCACUGUGCUUCUGGUUUCUGUAACUCCAUAGUUACAUUGAUUCACUUUUUCUUUUUAGUUUCCUGGAAAGAAAUAUUCUGAGAGAGUGCUUCUUAAAAAAUAGAGGAGGCUAAGUGCUUUCUAAGUUUGCUGAUGAUUAAAUGUAAUUAGAUCAUCAGCUUCUGAGAGGAGAGGAUUACAGAUAAAUAAUAGUAACCAUGUCAGAGUAGUUAGACACUGUUACAAUGAGAAACAGGAACACAAGGCGUAGGUAGGCAGCCACAUGGCAUGAGCGUAAAAGAUCUCAGAAUCAUAGUGCAAGUCAGUUUCACAAAGUAAAAUGAGAAAAAAAAAGAGAAUAUGAAAAAAGCAUCCAAAAAUUCCAUGAGAGUUUGCCUAAUUCUAAGAUGAUUAGAAGUGGUGAUUCUAAGCAGAUAAGCAGCAGAUUCUUCUCUGGUGAAGACCGGUAUAAAAUGAGGAGCAAUAUCAACAUUGACAAGGUGGUAAAAUUAGAUCCAUGAGAAACUAGGAGUGCUAAAAAUAUCUAAAGAAAGGUUUAAUGAUUUCCAAGAUAAUAAUAUAUGGCAUGAUUAUUAGAAUUUACCCAUCUCCAGAGAGAAUGGAGCUUACAAAGGGUCAGGAGGCAUUUAAAGAACAACCGGUGAUGAAUUCAUUCUUAACAGGAAAUGUGGUUAUAUACUAGAAUGAUCCACAGGAAGACCUCAGAGAUACUGUGUGUUUGGUUCAAGACUACUGUAAUAAAGCCAAUGUCACAAUGAAGCAGGGCAUGCAAAAUUUCUGGUUUCCCAGUGCAUAUAAAAGUUAUGUUUAUACUACACUGUAGUCUAUUAAGUGAGCAACAGUAUUAUAUCUAAAAAAAAUG
This is a non-coding RNA of Vicugna pacos (alpaca), 3940 nucleotides long. NCBI's taxonomy places the organism in Eukaryota, Metazoa, Chordata, Mammalia, Artiodactyla, Camelidae. The record is from RefSeq and is a predicted model, not a curated record.